Picea glauca (white spruce) is the source of this 117-nucleotide non-coding RNA. The record is from Rfam. Lineage: Eukaryota; Viridiplantae; Streptophyta; Pinopsida; Pinales; Pinaceae.
UUCCUACAACAUAUCGUUAAUACACCAGGUCCCAUUAUAAAUCUGCAGUUAAGCAUGCUUAGGAUAGAGUAGUAUUGGGAUGGGUGAUUGUCUAGGAAGUGCUAGUGUUUUAAAAGC